Molecule: small nuclear RNA, 187 nt
Organism: Dalotia coriaria
Lineage: Eukaryota; Metazoa; Arthropoda; Insecta; Coleoptera; Staphylinidae
Product: U12 minor spliceosomal RNA
Exons: 1
Source: RefSeq, a predicted model, not a curated record
GUGCCUUAAACUAAUGAGUAAGGAAAAUAUACAAGCCGUGGUGACGCGCGGUUUACAUAGUCAAUGAAAGGGUGAGGUGGUGCGCCCAUCUUGUCCUUUCGACUCCCUUAUUUUUGUGAGGGCCUAGGUCGUCCCGUGCGACAACUACCUACUUUUGUAGUCGUUGCUGGUGAUAGCGAUCUACCCU